AGGGUUUGAUUAUGGCUCAGGAUGAACGCUGGCGGCGUGCCUAACACAUGCAAGUCGAACGGUUAAACCGCCUUCGGGCGGACAUACAGUGGCGAACGGGUGAGUAACACGUGACCAACCUGCCCCGCGCUCCGGGACAACCUCGGGAAACCGAGGCUAAUACCGGAUGCGCCGCCCGCCCCGCAUGGGGCGGGCGGGAAAGCCGAGACGGCGCGGGAUGGGGUCGCGGCCCAUCAGGUAGACGGCGGGAUGAGAGCCCACCGUGCCUGCGACGGGUAGCCGGCCUGAGAGGGCGAUCGGCCACAUUGGGACUGAGAUACGGCCCAG
Molecule: ribosomal RNA, 327 nt
Filed under: uncultured bacterium
Lineage: Bacteria
Description: bacterial SSU rRNA
Rfam family: Bacterial small subunit ribosomal RNA
Source: RNAcentral